UUGUUACCGAAUUUUUUUCCUCAAAUCCAUCGCCUGUGGUACCCCAACCCCCUCGUUUUACCACAACUAACAGUACGCUCUCGCUUUCUCCCCUCUUUCCAUGGCAGAGUCUUUGCCUAUCUCCAUGACCAUUUUUGGCUAACGAUUCAACUAUUCUUCAGCCAUGGCAGAGUAUUGUCAUACCAUAUUCAGAUCUUUGUUGGCCUUCAGCUGUGACAAAGAUUUUUGUUGGUCUGAUUGUGUCGCUUAGGUGGUGAAGGAGGUUUGAAUCGGAGAUUCGAGUAGUCGUUGGCAAACGCCCCAGUUUACUGCCCUGCAAAAGGUCAGUGACCUCUAACAUUAAGUUCCUCUUUCUGUUAUUAUUAUUUGUUUAUGUUAAAGGCAAAUAAUUAUUUUUGUUUGAAAAUUAGUACUUCACUUCCUAUGUAGAGAUCAUGAUUUAGGACUCAUUUUGUACACAUAAAAGUCAUGUCUAUAGGGAAAUUGUAUUCCAGUCAUGUUUGUCCAAAAACCCAUCACUAAAUGCUUGGUAAAUUGCCUACACAACUAUUUUGUGUGUUUUAUGUUGUUAGUACAUGAUCAACGUUGUUCUUUUGUAAAUGCCAUGCUCAGUUGAUGUUUCAUUUCUAACUUGUUGUUAAGGAUAAACGUAUUAUGUGAAAAAGCUCCUUCUUUCUUAUGAACUUCAAUUGCGUUUAUGAGUAAAAAUGAGUAAUCUUUUAACUCAAGAAUUUGGGAGCGUAAUAUUUGUGGACAGAUUACUAUUUAUCUGUCAAACGUUAAAAAAAGAAAAAAGAAAAAAAAAGAGAAUGCAUUCUGUAAGAGUGUUGGUGUAUCCUGUAUACCUACCAGCAACAGGAGCUUAGGUUCUUUCAUGUCCAGAUAAUCAUGACAAAUAUAAGGUUGUUGCAAAAGUUAAUUGAAUAUGUUGCGAGUAAUUUGUGGAUUUACAUUAUUCAUAAAUAGCAUGCUUAUACGGUUUUGUUGAUGGCUGCAUUUCUUAAGUACUGAAUAGCUUUAAAUCUAUGUAAACUCCUUCGGUUAAAACAAUAGCAGAAAACUUGAUGGUCUCCCCAUAAACCUGAGACCUUAACUUAUGCUCUUUUUGGCCUCUCUCUGUUAAUGGAAGUAUAUUGCUUUAUGAUAAGCACCAUGCUUAGGCUUUUCUUCUUAUUUUUAAAUGCCCAAUAUCACGAUCAUGGGUUUUAAUGAAAUAAUUAGCUUCGGAUAUCCUUUGGCAGUAUUUAGCUAAGAAUGUCCCGUAGAUGAGUGAGUUACACUCGUUAUUUAACAUGCUUAUAGAGGCCUUAUAGAUAGUUCUACUACCCAAGCUCACUUAGAAAGUUAAGCUCUUUGUCAGAACUAUGGUAUAUAAUUCAUCCCUAAGAUAUAUUUUUAUGUAUUAAUAUCUGGACCAAACUAAGCAAGCUAUACUAUCCUUGAUGCCUUCUUUGUCACAAUGAAGUAGAGAUGCUUAUUUGCAUUAUGAUAAUGACAUACAUACUGCAUCUAAGAUUUAUUCACUCAUUUUCUCAUCAUAUAAGAUUUAUUUGCUUACUUAGUAAAGCAUGCCUUAGGGUACCCUGCUUAACUUGUAAUUGCUCCAUCAUAAGUUCUAAAUGAGAAUAAUAGAAAACAUCUGCUUGAAUACUUCGUUAGGGGAUGUUCUUGAAUCAGUGUUAUGAAUCUGAUAGUAUAACAUUCUAACAUGAUGAAUGUAUCUGCUACGUUGUAAGCUUAUAAGUUUAUAGUAUGAUUCGUAAUGUCUUUAUCCUAUGUUUGCUCGGAAACUAAGUUCUUCUAAUUCUUGUUCUAUUCUCUCUUUUGCAUAUGCACUUGGAGCAAAAUGGAGUCUCACUCGAGACUCAACACCGUACCCGAGCAUGGAGUCGACACACAUAUCCACAUCCUUAGAGUGCAUUGAAUAGCGAGAAAACAAGCGAAGUGCUUGGGGAUGCCGAUGGCGUCUUUCUUCUUUCUUUUUCGUUGUUUGUCUUUUAUCGUCUAUGUUGUCUAACUUUAUAAAUUUGGUUGCGUUUGCGUAGUAAAUUCAUCUCCACGUUGAAAAUGGUUAGCAGAAGCUCGUGAUUGACUACCUAUAAA
Long non-coding RNA from Nicotiana attenuata, 2103 nucleotides. RefSeq lists it as uncharacterized. The record is from RefSeq and is a predicted model, not a curated record. Lineage: Eukaryota; Viridiplantae; Streptophyta; Magnoliopsida; Solanales; Solanaceae. The transcript has 2 exons.